This 330-nucleotide unclassified non-coding RNA is filed under the name soil metagenome. RNAcentral's name for it is "partial contains 5.8S ribosomal RNA, internal transcribed spacer 2, and large subunit ribosomal RNA". The stretch from base 1 to 120 matches the Rfam family "5.8S ribosomal RNA", at positions 35 to 154 of the family's 154-position model. The record is from RNAcentral.
GAUGAAGAACGUAGCGAAAUGCGAUAAGUAAUGUGAAUUGCAGAAUUCAGUGAAUCAUCGAAUUUUUGAACGCACAUUGCGCCCCUUGGUAUUCCGAGGGGCAUGCCUGUUCGAGCGUCAUUUCAACCCUCAAGCGCAGCUUGGUCUUGGGCUUCGCCGCUAACCCGGCGGGUCUUAAAAUCAGUGGCGGUGCCGUCGGGCCCUGAGCGCAGUAAUCUCUCUCGCUAUAGGGUCUCGGCGGAUGCUGGCCAGUAACCCCCAAUUUUCUAUGGUUGACCUCGGAUCAGGUAGGGAUACCCGCUGAACUUAAGCAUAUCAAUAAGCGGAGGA